UACGUAGGGUGCGAGCGUUAAUCGGAAUUACUGGGCGUAAAGCGUGCGCAGGCGGUUUUGUAAGUCUGUCGUGAAAUCCCCGGGCUCAACCUGGGAAUUGCGAUGGAGACUGCAAGGCUAGAAUCUGGCAGAGGGGGGUAGAAUUUCACGUGUAGCAGUGAAAUGCGUAGAGAUGUGGAGGAACACCGAUGGCGAAGGCAGCCCCCUGGGUCAAGAUUGACGCUCAUGCACGAAAGCGUGGGGAGCAAACAGG
This 253-nucleotide ribosomal RNA is filed under the name uncultured bacterium. RNAcentral's name for it is "partial 16S ribosomal RNA". It matches the Rfam family "Bacterial small subunit ribosomal RNA", at positions 524 to 776 of the family's 1533-position model. The record is from RNAcentral.